This is a small nucleolar RNA of Echinops telfairi (small Madagascar hedgehog), 129 nucleotides long. RefSeq annotates it as small nucleolar RNA SNORA70. The transcript has a single exon. The record is from RefSeq and is a predicted model, not a curated record. NCBI's taxonomy places the organism in Eukaryota, Metazoa, Chordata, Mammalia, Afrosoricida, Tenrecidae.
CAGCUAAUCCAGCUGACCGCCCUCCUCCCGUGGGGGCCGGUGUCCAAUGGCUGCAAACAGCAAGCCCCCUCGGAGUGUGUGCAGCCUGUCGCUUGGUCUAGGCUGCCCUACGGGACCUGGGAGACAGCC